UGUGUGACUGCUGGAGCAGGAAGCCUGAAACUCAUCUUUGGAAAGGGAACCAAAGUGAUUGUGGAGGCCAAGGACUGGGAGAAGCACCAGCCAUCCUACCACAGACUGGAAGAUGUAGAUGGGAUGACGACGUGCCUGGCCACUGGUUUUGGCAGACACAACAUGACACAUACGUGCUUUAACAGCACCAGCACAAAGGGACCGGCCGUUCAAAUAUCUGGUAGCCCUCUGUACAACCAGGUGGCCUUUUUCUCAAGUGCAAGUGACCAGUGUGACAAAGCGUCAGAGUCUGAAGAAACUCAGUGCGAGGACCCUCUGGAGCCAGAUCCGAAGGUGAACCUCAUGUCUCUGACCAUCCUGGGCCUCAGGCUGCUCUUCCUCAAGACCAUUGUCUUCAACGUCCUGAUGACCCUGCGGCUGUGGUUCAGUCAAUGAGCUCGACAGACCUGCUCCAGAAAAACAGACGACAAAUUCACAAACAACAUCCUGAUCGAAUCCGUGAAGCACGGAGUCGAUGCUCGGCUUCUUUUCUGCUGUCAUCGCCUGCGUCUGUGUCAUGUACCAUAACAUGUAUGAAUAUCAUCAUAUUAAUAUGAUCCUGCUGUGGACAAACACGCUAGCUUGUAAUACAAAGUCUUAUUGUGCUGUAUUUCUUCAUAGUGUUUGAUUUUUUUUUUUUUAUGAGUGAAUUUUACUCUGUUCUUCUGAUGUAAAUAUCACAGUUCCAUUUAACAACA
Monopterus albus (swamp eel) is the source of this 737-nucleotide non-coding RNA. The record is from the annotation of a RefSeq genome assembly. Lineage: Eukaryota; Metazoa; Chordata; Actinopteri; Synbranchiformes; Synbranchidae.